Molecule: unclassified non-coding RNA, 347 nt
Filed under: soil metagenome
Description: partial contains 5.8S ribosomal RNA, internal transcribed spacer 2, and large subunit ribosomal RNA
Rfam family: 5.8S ribosomal RNA (bases 1-120)
Source: RNAcentral
GAUGAAGAACGUAGCGAAAUGCGAUAAUUAAUGUGAAUUGCAGAAUUCAGUGAAUCAUCGAGUCUUUGAACGCACAUUGCGCCCCCUGGUAUUCCGGGGGGCAUGCCUGUCCGAGCGUCAUUGCUGCCCUCAAGCCCGGCUUGUGUGUUGGGCCUCGUCCCCCCUCCGCGGGGGACGGGCCCGAAAGGCAGCGGCGGCACCGUGUCCGGUCCUCGAGCGUAUGGGGCUUUGUCACCCGCUCUGUAGGCCCGGCCGGCGCCUUAGCCGACGACACAAUCUUUUUUCCAGGUUGACCUCGGAUCAGGUAGGGAUACCCGCUGAACUUAAGCAUAUCAAUAAGCGGAGGA